Molecule: ribosomal RNA, 840 nt
Filed under: uncultured Pezizaceae
Lineage: Eukaryota; Fungi; Ascomycota; Pezizomycetes; Pezizales; Pezizaceae
Description: eukaryotic LSU rRNA
Rfam family: Eukaryotic large subunit ribosomal RNA
Source: RNAcentral
AGGUAGGGAUACCCGCUGAACUUAAGCAUAUCAAUAAGCGGAGGRAAAAGAACCAACNRGGGAUUGCCCUAGUAACGGCGAGUGAAGCGGCAAAAAGCUCAGAUAUUGGAAUCUGGCGUCAUUGUGGCGUCCGAGUUGUAGUCUGAAGGAGGGGAAAUUCAAGUGUAGCUUUGGCUUAAGUUCCUUGGAACAGGGACGUCAUAGAGGGUGAGAACCCGUUAAUGGCCUUUGUCUUAUGCUUAUGUGAAUCUCCUUCAAUGAGUCGAGUUGUUUGGGAAUGCAGCUCUAAAUGGGUGGGUAAAUUCCAUCUAAGCCUAAUACUGGCAAGACCGAUAGCGCACAAGUAGAGUGAUCGAAAGAUGAAAAGACUCUGAACAGAGAGUUAAAUAGUACGUGAAAUUGUUGAAAGGGAAGCACUUGUAACCAGACAUGCUUGCAGCUGAUCAAUUCUGAUUUUUGAGGAUGCACUCAGUUGUUAGCGAGCCAACAUCAGUCAUGGUGACAGGAAAAAGACCAAGGAAAGGUAGCUCCUUUCGGGGAGUGUUAUAGUCCUGGGUGUAAUGCUGCCUACUAUGAUUGAGGACCGCGCUUUGGCGAGGAUGUUGGCAUAAUGGUUUUAAGUGACCCGUCUUGAAACACGGACCAAGGAGUGUAACAUCUAUGCGAGUGUUUGGGUGUAGAAACCCUUUCGCGAAAUGAAAGUGAAUGGAGGUGGGAACCGCAAGGUGCACCAUCGACCGAUCCUGAUGUUUUCGGAUGGAUUUGAGUAAGAGCAUAGCUGUUGGGACCCGAAAGAUGGUGAANUAUNCCUNGAUAGGGUGAAGCCAGAGGAAACUCUGG